CUGGGGCUCCGCGUCUCCCUAGUGGGGGGCUGCCGGGGGCGGCGGGGCCCCGGACCGGCCUCGGCUGGCUGGUCCCCAGGGCGAGGCCGCCCCGGCUUCCGACGGUGGUGUCGGCGUCUCGAGGCCGGCCGCUGAUUCCCCUGUCUUCUUGCUUCUUGGUUUUUUCCCCUCAACUUUCUCCUCUCUCUGUCUCUGCUCUCCCGCUUCUGCCCACCGUCCCCCCUCCCCUCCCCCAGCGGACCUGAAGGAACCAGUGACUUUUUCCUUCCCCAAGUGGGAGUUAUCCACAUCAAGCAUUUCACAACGACACAUCAAGAAAAGUAGGCAGGUUCAAGUCAACCAUGAAAUGGUCACUUUUUAACCCCGUCCUGUCCUCAUUAGGGAAAUGCUCAAACACAGUCCGUUUUCAAAGAGCGCUCUUAAUGAGGCGAGCUUGCCAAGUCUACCAGCUGCAGCCCCCGUAAACCAAGGGCCCCACGAAGAAAGGCGCUGGGGGGUGGGGAGUUCGGAGGCCGUGGAGUGGGGGGCGGUGGGUCUGGGGAGACAGGUAAAGUCGGGGAAAUUGCGAGAACCCCCGCGAGUUAACCCUUUCGGGCACACGCCUCCGGCAGCAGCAGCCUCCCUGCUCCCCUGUUCCCCGCCCUGCAAACCCUCUAGUCAGCGUUCUGACAGCGUUAAUUUCCUUUGUGCGGGUCAUUUCUUCUUUUUGAAAAGCUGGGAUAAAGUUGACAGUCUUUAAAGAUGAAAGAAAAUGAGGUGACAAUCGGGGUUAAUCCAAAUAAAUACUCAUUUCUCUCUCAGAAAUUUUAGGCCACCUCAUCUUAGAUUUAAAAAAAAAAACAAAAAAAAAACCAAAGCAUCACUUUGUUUUGCACAUCACACUGCAUCCCUUUUCUCACCCUCACCAGAUCCUGAGGGGAGGGGGCGGGGAAGCUCUACUGAUAAUACCAGCUUUAACUACUGGAGUUUCCCUUUGAACAAAUAUUCAAUUUAACUGGAGUUAAUUUACCAUAAAAGACAUUCCCCUUGGCAGGAAUGCACUCAUAUCCUUGAACACACCUCUUUGAAUGCCUGGACUCUUACAGAAGCCAUUAUUUCAGGUCUCUUUAAAAAUCCAAUGCCCAUCUCUCUCCUUCUCUCCCUCCCUCCCUCCUUCCCUCCCUCCUCACCACACCACCCCCAGUGAAAUCCUGGCACCCAGAGAGCUCUCCUUUCAGCCAGAGAGCCCAGAACCAGCCGUUGUCCCCUGGCAAAAGAGGCCCAGUGCUGAGCCCUGGGCAAGUGUCUCCAGACAUCGCCACCCCUCCUCCCCUUAUUGGUUUCCCUUCCCAACAGAAACCAUUUCCUUUUGCCACAAAAACUAGGUUGCAUCCAAAAGUUUCUCACAAGCUUAAAAAGGAAAAAACGAAAAGUUGACAACCAUUACACAGAAGAGCCCACAAAAGCUGCAGCAGCACCAGGGUGAAGAAGCAGCGUCAGACCCAGGUCUGCAGGACACACCAAAGAACUCCCCCAAGUCACGCAAGGGAGAAAAUGAACUUCUCUACUGGCCUCUAUCAGGGAAGCUAAUUUUUUCCCCUUCUUUCUUGAAAGUUUCCCAAACCCCAUGACUCUGAUUUCCAGGUCAGAAAUUCAAGUUUUAUUUUUAUUAUUCUAUAUACUUUGCAUAUGGAGAGUCUCUGAAGGAACUUUGUUAUGGGCUGAUUAUUGUGAGCCUAUUGUGUGCAAGGUGCUGGAGAAGGAAUUCAGCCAGCCCUGGGCAGGGGUCUGCGAACCCCAAGUCAGCUCCUACUUUCUCCCUGCAAGUAGCAGCCACCUCCUCCCUAGAAUUAGCAGGGGUUGGGAUCUGGCAACCCAAUAUUUAAGAGGUUUGAAAUUCUACAUGAGGCAUUUCUGAGUUAUGUCAUAAAUAACGAUUUCUUUAAUAAUGUGGAAAAUAAGAAGCCUGCUAAAAUUUUUAACUUACAUUGGUUUAAGAGAAAUGAAAACUUAUGCCCACACAAGACUUGUACAUGAAUGUUCAUAGCAGCCUUUUCAUAAUAGCCAAAAAGGGAAGGCAAUCCAAAUGUUCAUCAGCUAAUGAACCGAUAAACAUCAUGUGGUAUAUCCAUAUAAUGGAGUGCUAUUCAGCAAUAAAAAGAGAUGAAAUGUUGACACAUGCAACAACAUAGAUGAACCUUGAAACAUCAUGCUAAAUAAAAGCCUGUCACAAA
Molecule: non-coding RNA, 2213 nt
Organism: Microcebus murinus (gray mouse lemur)
Lineage: Eukaryota; Metazoa; Chordata; Mammalia; Primates; Cheirogaleidae
Source: RefSeq, a predicted model, not a curated record